This is an RNA transcript of Anolis carolinensis (green anole), 2005 nucleotides long. RefSeq lists it as uncharacterized. The transcript is spliced from 2 exons. Lineage: Eukaryota; Metazoa; Chordata; Lepidosauria; Squamata; Anolidae. The record is from RefSeq and is a predicted model, not a curated record.
UAAUAAUAAUAAUAAUAAUAAUAAUAAUAAUAGGAGCAACCCCCACAUCCCCUGAGUGGAACGCAAGGGGCGGCGAGGAAGAUUAGGGAAAAAAGGCUUUUUGGGGAAAGGGAAGCUUGGAAAAAGGGCUUUUGGAGGCAAGGGAAGCAAGGAAAUACCAGGCUGGUACUCUUUCAUUAUCUGGGCGGAGGCCACUAGGGGUGCUAGAAAAAGAAGAAUAGUCCAUUUUAUGGGGGGAGGGUGGAUUGAAGGAGUAAGAUCAUUUCUCCCUGUUUUCCUGUUAUUCCCCCUACCCAUAAUAUGUUGUCUAUUAUGCGGGGGACACGGAAAGAGCCUCCCCAAAGAUUGAGUAAAUUCAGUCGGGCGUCCCCUGGGCAACGUUUCUUGUAAGCGGCCAAUCUUUCCACACCCAAAAGCAUUGGAUGAAUGGAUGAAUACCAAAGGUCUUUAUCAAGACCAUUGCUAACGAUUAUGUCUAUUAAUAUAGAAUGUUUGUCACUUGCUAAGGAAGAACUAUUAGCCAAAAUGUCUGAGGACAUUUCGUGUGACAUCCUAUGUAUACAGGAAACACACAGAGACAUCACAAUGAGAAGACCAAAAAUUCUUGGAAUGCAACUGGCAGUGGAACGACCUCACAGACAAUAUGGCAGUGCCAUUUUUGUACGAUCUGGUGUAGCGAUCUCUGCAACUUCCUUCACAGAAGAGAACAAUAUUGAAAUCUUAUCUGUGGAACUUGAUAGUUGCACCGUAUCAUCACUCUAUAAACCACCUGGGGCUGAUUUCUAUUUUACGCCCCCAACCAAUUGCCACAAUCAUGAAGCCCAUUUUAUUGUGGGAGAUUUCAAUAGCCAUAGCUGUGUCUGGGGCUAUGAUGAAGAUGAUAGAAAUGGUGAAGCAGUUCUAACGUGGGCCGACAACAGUAGAAUGAGCCUCCUCCAUGACAGUAAAUUACCACCAUCUUUUAAUAGCGGCCGAUGGAAGCGUGGUUAUAACCCUGAUCUGAUUUUUGUAAAGGAAAGCAUAAUCCAGCAAUGCAUCAAAAGGGUAUUAAACCCGAUACCUAACACACAACACAGACCAAUAUGCUACGUAGCAUAUGCAGCUAUAAGACCAAAAAGUGUCCCAUUCCGCAGAAGAUAUAACUUCAAUAAAGCUAACUGGACAAAGUUUACAGAGACCUUGGAAGCUGCUAUUUCUGAUAUAGAACCUUCUACAGAAAAUUAUGACCUGUUUGUAGAAGCUGUGAAAAGAUCUUCAAGGCUCUCUGUUAUGAUUGAGCCUCAUGGCUCUGCUACAGGGAAGCGUGGGCGUAAGACUCCUCGAGAGUCAGAUACUCUCGAGGAGCGAGAAAGAAAGAGGCUGCGAGAUAUCUUUGCAGAACCAUCUGACGAGGAUUCUUUUGAGGGGUUUACAGAGAGAAUGGAGGAAGAGGUGGUGAGCUCGGAAGAGGAUGAGAUGGAUUGGACUCGGGUAAGGGAGGAAUUGGGUGCCACUGGCAAUGAUGGGAUGGAAGAUGAUUGGGGACCUUCAGGACUAGACCCAUGGACAAGCUGGAGGGAUGGGACGGGAUCCACAGCUGGGGAUGUAGUCAGAGGUGUUCCAGCUCUGAUGAGGAAAGUGAUGAGGAAACGCCCGGGUUAAGAAGGGCAGCUGAUAGUGAUGAGGACUUGUAACUGGCAUAAAAUGGGGCUUGGGAGCAAUUGCAAAUUGCGUUGGGCAAGGUAAUCUGGACGAACGCUUGGGAUCUGUGUGGGACGUUUUCCUGAAGACGGGUGUGUUUCGUGUGCUGACUACCUUUGACCUUCCGUCGUCUUCUUGACGGACGCCAUCUGCUACUCUGGAUUUACGGACUGAACUGACUACGGGCUCGGAUUCUCCUACCUGGACUUGGUGAACUACAAACGUCUGCUUCUGCCUUACGACCUUCGGAAAGAACUGGGACUACGCUACUGCUUCAAUCCUCGGCUGUUGUGUUUGUAUUGGAACCUUGCCUGCUGUGUGGAGG